Molecule: ribosomal RNA, 611 nt
Filed under: uncultured bacterium
Lineage: Bacteria
Description: bacterial SSU rRNA
Rfam family: Bacterial small subunit ribosomal RNA
Source: RNAcentral
GCAGUAUAGGAUGGUCCCGGCUCUGAUUAGCUGGUUGGCGGGGUAACGGCCCACCAAGGCGACGAUCAGUAGCCGGCUUGAGAGAGUGGACGGCCACAUUGGGACUGAGACACGGCCCAAACUCCUACGGGAGGCAGCAGUGGGGAAUAUUGCACAAUGGGGGAAACCCUGAUGCAGCGACGCCGCGUGAGUGAAGAAGUAUUUCGGUAUGUAAAGCUCUAUCAGCAGGGAAGAAAAAAGACGGUACCUGACUAAGAAGCCCCGGCUAACUACGUGCCAGCAGCCGCGGUAAUACGUAGGGGGCAAGCGUUAUCCGGAAUUACUGGGUGCAAAGGGUGCGUAGGUGGCAUGGUAAGUCAGAAGUGAAAGCCCGGGGCUUAACCCCGGGACUGCUUUUGAAACUGUCAUGCUGGAGUGCAGGAGAGGUAAGCGGAAUUCCUAGUGUAGCGGUGAAAUGCGUAGAUAUUAGGAGGAACACCAGUGGCGAAGGCGGCUUACUGGACUGUCACUGACACUGAUGCACGAAAGCGUGGGGAGCAAACAGGAUUAGAUACCCCGGUAGUCCACGCCGUAAACGAUGAAUACUAGGUGUCGGGGCCGUAGAGGCUUCG